RNAcentral lists this ribosomal RNA (585 nucleotides) under uncultured Gammaproteobacteria bacterium. Its description in RNAcentral is "bacterial SSU rRNA". It matches the Rfam family "Bacterial small subunit ribosomal RNA", at positions 338 to 916 of the family's 1533-position model. The record is from RNAcentral. Lineage: Bacteria; Pseudomonadati; Pseudomonadota; Gammaproteobacteria.
CCUACGGGAGGCAGCAGUGGGGAAUAUUGCACAAUGGGGGCAACCCUGAUGCAGCCAUGCCGCGUGUGUGAAGAAGGCCUUCGGGUUGUAAAGCACUUUCAGUUGUGAGGAAAGGUUAGUAGUUAAUACCUGCUAGCUGUGACGUUAACAACAGAAGAAGCACCGGCUAACUCCGUGCCAGCAGCCGCGGUAAUACGGAGGGUGCGAGCGUUAAUCGGAAUUACUGGGCGUAAAGCGCACGCAGGCGGUCUGUUAAGCUAGAUGUGAAAGCCCCGCGCUCAACGUGGGAGGGUCAUUUAGAACUGGCAGACUAGAGUCUUGGAGAGGGGAGUGGAAUUCCAGGUGUAGCGGUGAAAUGCGUAGAGAUCUGGAGGAACAUCAAUGGCGAAGGCAACUCCCUGGCCAAAGACUGACGCUCAUGUGCGAAAGUGUGGGUAGCGAACAGGAUUAGAUACCCUGGUAGUCCACACCGUAAACGAUGAAUGCCAGUCGUCGGGCAGUAUACUGUUCGGUGACACACCUAACGGAUUAAGCAUUCCGCCUGGGGAGUACGGUCGCAAGAUUAAAACUCAAAGGAAUUGACGG